Molecule: ribosomal RNA, 253 nt
Filed under: uncultured prokaryote
Description: partial 16S ribosomal RNA
Rfam family: Bacterial small subunit ribosomal RNA
Source: RNAcentral
UACGGAGGGGGCUAGCGUUGUUCGGAAUUACUGGGCGUAAAGCGCACGUAGGCGGCUUUGUAAGUUAGAGGUGAAAGCCCGGGGCUCAACUCCGGAAUUGCCUUUAAGACUGCAUCGCUAGAAUUGUGGAGAGGUAAGUGGAAUUCCGAGUGUAGAGGUGAAAUUCGUAGAUAUCGUAAGGAAGACCAGUGGCGAAGGCGGAUCUCUGGACAGUUACUGACACUGAGGCACGAAGGCCAGGGGAGCAAACGGG